UACGGAAUGUGCAAACGUUAUUCGGAAUCACUGGGCUUAAAGAGUCCGUAGGCGGCAUGUUAGGUGAGGUGUGAAAUCCCCCCGGCUCAACCGAGGAAUUGCGCUUCAAACCGGCGUGCUUGAGGAAGAUAGAGGUGGGCGGAACUGAUGGUGGAGCGGUGAAAUGCGUUGAUAUCAUCAGGAACACCGGAGGCGAAAGCGGCCCACUGGGUCUUAUCUGACGCUGAGGGACGAAAGCUAGGGGAGCGAACGGGAGUUAGAAACCCUA
Molecule: ribosomal RNA, 268 nt
Filed under: uncultured bacterium
Lineage: Bacteria
Description: partial 16S ribosomal RNA
Rfam family: Bacterial small subunit ribosomal RNA
Source: RNAcentral